UUUUUAGAACUGCAAGACAAAUACAGUUGAGGCAAUGAUUGGCCUCAGGGCUAAUCGUCACUUGUGGACCUUGCAAAUGUUGGAAGCUAUGCAACUUUGAGAUGGAAACCAAAGCCUAAUCUUUGUGACAGAAAACUAUUAG
Quercus robur (English oak) is the source of this 142-nucleotide long non-coding RNA. RefSeq lists it as uncharacterized. NCBI's taxonomy places the organism in Eukaryota, Viridiplantae, Streptophyta, Magnoliopsida, Fagales, Fagaceae. The record is from RefSeq and is a predicted model, not a curated record. The transcript is spliced from 2 exons.